UCCCAGCUUUGAUGCACCUGUACUGACCUCUCCUUCUGGAUGGUAGCGGUGUGAACAGGCAGUGGCUCGGGUGGUUGAUGUCCAGGGACUCCAAGAGCUAAAGAGGAAUGAUAAGGAAUAGUACUACAGUGAAUAGCCUAUAGGCCUACCCAAUGAAUUUACACAGUCAAAUAUCUUUUUUUUUACAAAUCAGUUGAUGUGAAAUCAAAUCAAACGUUAUUUGUCACAUGCGCCGAAUUCAACGUGUGUAGAUCUUACCUUGAAACGCUUACUUACAAGCCCUUAACCGACAGUGCAGUUCAAGAAAGAGUUAAGAAAAUAUUUACUAAAUCAUCUAAAAUAAUAAAAAGUAACAUUAACAUGACAAUAACGAGGCUAUAUACAGUGAGUACCGGUACAGAGUCAGUGUGUGGGCGUACAGGUUAGUCGAGGUCAUUUGUACCUGUAGGUAGGGGUGAAGUGACUAUGCAUAGAUGACAGGCAGCCUAGGAUGACAAAAAUAUCACUUGAAAAAAGGAGGAGAACAAUUCGUAGGCAUACAGCCUGUCCAGCCAUCCACAUGGACUGUUGUCUUCCCCAUUUGGUACCAACUACAAACACCCGAUGUAAUCACUUUUCCCUACCAUUGAGGAACCAUCUUCUUUCCACUCCAAAAUUACAUGGAACUUUUCAAGACUCUCUUCAGCAGACAGAGACUGCAACAGACCCUUCACUUUUCACAUGCUGUGUUCCUUGCGUAAUUGUGCGACGCCAUGCUUGUUGUUGUUAUAAACCAGAGUUUUUUUUUGGUGCUUUCAAGACAACAGGGAACUCAGGGGGAAAAUGAUGUAAAACAAUGACGUCAAUGAUCUUCUGUUCAGGAAGUCGGAGCUUUAGAAAGAUGCCAGAGUUUCCGACUUUUAAUUCAGAGCUGGAUGACCGUUCAAAACGAUUUUGCCAGUCAGUUUCUUUAUUUCCAGAGUUCUUAGUUAUCUUGAAUGCACUGACUCUGGAAGUCGGUGAUUUCAGAGUUCCCAGUUGUUUUGAAUGCAGCAUCUCUGUUGUUGUUAGAUCCCUAUGUCAUCACUACAAGCAUUACUUUACUCGCCAGAUACUCUACAUGCCCACAUUCUGGAUAUAAAGGGGAAAUGCCCACCCGGCCGGGCUCAGCGAGGAGAACGAGAGCGAGAGAGCAAAGUUACACAGUCAAAUUAAAUUAGUUGUCACGGCUGUCGUAGGAAGGAGCGGACCAAAGUGCAGCGUGUGUGUCGUUCCACAUUUUAUUUUCACUGUGAAACUAUGCAAUACAUAAAUAAACUAAAGAACGGAAACAACAAACCAUGACGCGCAACUUACUCAAACUCAAAAACAAUCUCCCACAAACCCAGGUAGAAAAAAACCCUACUUAAGUAUGAUCUCCAAUUAGAGACAACAAGGACCAGCUGCCUCUAAUUGGAGAUCAUCCCAAACAAAACCCAACAUAGAAAUACAAAACUAGAACGUAACAACAUAGAAAAACUAAACUAGAAAACCCCCGUCACGCCCUGACCUACUCUACCAUAGAAAAUAACAUCUUUCUACAGUCAGGACGUGACAGUACCCCCCCCAAAGGUGCGGACUCCGAAUGCACCUAAACAAAACAACAACAACAACCCCCCCCCCCCUAAAAAAAGGGAGGGUAGGGUGGGUAACUACUGUCUAUGGCGGCUCUGGUACAGUACACAUAACCUUCUCAUCCCGCGGAUCCUCCAACAGAGGAGGCGGCUCCGGUUCUUAGAUUUACGUGUAUUUUGGGGUAUAUGUUGUGAAACUGUUAGAUAUUACUUGUUAGAUAUUACUGCACUGUCGGAGUUAGAAGCACAAGCAUUUCACUUCACUCACAAUAACAUCUGUAUGUGACCAAUAAAUUGGAUUUGAUAUUGGAAUCAUUUCACAGGUCAUUUCUAACUAUACUAGUAACUCACCCCAGGCGUACUCCUCUAACUACUAACUAUACUAGUAACUCACCCCAGGCGUACUCCUCUAACUACUAACUAUACGAGUAACUCACCCCAGGUGUACUCCUCUAACUACUAACUAUACUAGUAACUCACCCCAGGUGUACUCCUCUAACUACUAACUAUACUAGUAACUCACCCCAGGUGUACUCCUCUAUCUACUAACUAUACUAGUAACUCACCCCAGGUGUACUCCUCUAACUACUAACUAUACUAGUAACUCACCCCAGGUGUACUCCUCUAACUACUAACUAUACUAGUAACUCACCCCAGGUGUACUCCUC
RNAcentral lists this long non-coding RNA (2260 nucleotides) under Salmo salar (Atlantic salmon). RNAcentral describes it as "lncRNA (ENSSSAG00000087637.1)". The record is from RNAcentral. Lineage: Eukaryota; Metazoa; Chordata; Actinopteri; Salmoniformes; Salmonidae.